Long non-coding RNA from Bos taurus (domestic cattle), 1037 nucleotides. NCBI's taxonomy places the organism in Eukaryota, Metazoa, Chordata, Mammalia, Artiodactyla, Bovidae. The record is from Ensembl.
CGCAAUUACUUAAUUCUACCAAUCAGACUGCUCGUCCCGCCCCGACAGGGUGAAGGUGGUCUUUAUGUCUGAGCCACCACCCACCCCCUUACCAUUGGCCGUCGGCAACCGCUUCUUCAGUUGAUUGGACAAAGUGGAUGUCCAUCAGUGUCACGACGUUCCGCGGUAAGGAGAGGUGAAACCAGAAAGACAACUUCCCUCCGAAGGGUAGACGGGCCUGCUGGGAUACUGAGGGAGGACUGGGUCAGGCGCUGGGCGGGGUUUUCGCAGCUCCGCGGAACGCCGGGAAAGGGUCACGUCCAGAUGAGGGAUCCGGUUCCGGUGCAGACGGCGGCCUCGGCGUUGCCGCGGCAGUGCGGUUGGCCGGUACCUGGGUGGUGAGCUCGCGUUGUUGGAGGGGCUGGAGUUGUUCUCGGUCCUGUGUUGUCCGCUUAGACUUCGACUUCAUUCACCGCUGCAGCUUCAGUAUUGAAAACGGGUGCUCACGUUGGUGACAAGAGUGACCGCCGAAGAGCGGGGCUCCGUGAAAUCGCCGCGUGAUCUGUAGUCUCGGCGUCGCACUGGGUUGAUGGUACCCUGGAGCAUCCCAGACUUGCAGAGAAAGCAUCCUCCAGAGGAAGCUGAGAGUCAUUGAUUCCAGGUAAAUCAGAGGAACAGACAUCAUGAACAGAAAUAAUACAGGAAGUGAUGUGAUGCCGAAGUUUAACUGUUGUUCCAGAAGUCCAGCAUCUGUGGCUCAUAACUUUAGGAACUGUAUCAUUUGCAAGGUCACCUAACUUUUACUCAUAUUGGGUUGGCCAGAAAGUUCACUCAGUUUUCCUGUAAGCUGAGAGAACCCGCACGGACUUUUUGGCCAACCCAAUACAGUAAGUUUUGUUUGUUUGUUUUUGUUUUUUUUUAAAUAAAUAUUGACAGUUUGUUCCAGAAAACCUAAAUUGUAAAUUGCCUACUCUAAGCUGCCUGAUUCUCUGCUUGUGUUCACUGGAAUAGGGAGAAGAAUUUGCAAACUGAUUAUGUGAGGGUCCGAAAUGUAAAAC